GGCGUGCUUAACACAUGCAAGUCGAACGGAAAGGCCCUGCUUGCAGGGUACUCGAGUGGCGAACGGGUGAGUAACACGUGGGUGAUCUGCCCUGCACUUCGGGAUAAGCCUGGGAAACUGGGUCUGAUACCGGAUAGGACCAUCGUUUAGUGUCGGUGGUGGAAAGUUUUUCGGUGCAGGAUGAGCUCGCGGCCUAUCAGCUUGUUGGUGGGGUAAUGGCCUACCAAGGCGUCGACGGGUAGCCGGCCUGAGAGGGUGGACGGCCACAUUGGGACUGAGACACGGCCCAGACUCCUACGGGAGGCAGCAGUGGGGAAUAUUGCACAAUGGGCGCAAGCCUGAUGCAGCGACGCCGCGUGGGGGAUGAAGGCCUUCGGGUUGUAAACUCCUUUCAACCAUGACAAAGCAUUAUGUGACGGUAGUGGUAGAAGAAGCACCGGCUAACUACGUGCCAGCAGCCGCGGUAAUACGUAGGGUGCGAGCGUUGUCCGGAAUUACUGGGCGUAAAGAGCUCGUAGGUGGUUUGUCGCGUCGUCUGUGAAAUUCCGGGGCUUAACUCCGGGCGUGCAGGCGAUACGGGCAUAACUUGAGUGCUGUAGGGGAGACUGGAAUUCCUGGUGUAGCGGUGAAAUGCGCAGAUAUCAGGAGGAACACCGAUGGCGAAGGCAGGUCUCUGGGCAGUAACUGACGCUGAGGAGCGAAAGCAUGGGUAGCGAACAGGAUUAGAUACCCUGGUAGUCCAUGCCGUAAACGGUGGGCGCUAGGUGUGGGGGUCUUCCACGACUUCUGUGCCGUAGCUAACGCAUUAAGCGCCCCGCCUGGGGAGUACGGCCGCAAGGCUAAAACUCAAAGGAAUUGACGG
RNAcentral lists this ribosomal RNA (862 nucleotides) under uncultured Corynebacterium sp. Its description in RNAcentral is "bacterial SSU rRNA". It matches the Rfam family "Bacterial small subunit ribosomal RNA", at positions 41 to 916 of the family's 1533-position model. Lineage: Bacteria; Bacillati; Actinomycetota; Actinomycetes; Mycobacteriales; Corynebacteriaceae. The record is from RNAcentral.